RNAcentral lists this ribosomal RNA (398 nucleotides) under uncultured bacterium. RNAcentral describes it as "partial 16S ribosomal RNA". It matches the Rfam family "Bacterial small subunit ribosomal RNA", at positions 523 to 918 of the family's 1533-position model. The record is from RNAcentral.
AUACGUAGGGUGCGAGCGUUGUCCGGAAUUACUGGGCGUAAAGAGCUCGUAGGUGGUUUGUCGCGUCGUCUGUGAAAUUCCGGGGCUUAACUCCGGGCGUGCAGGCGAUACGGGCAUAACUUGAGUACUGUAGGGGAGACUGGAAUUCCUGGUGUAGCGGUGAAAUGCGCAGAUAUCAGGAGGAACGCCGGUGGCGAAGGCGGGUCUCUGGGCAGUAACUGACGCUGAGGAGCGAAAGCAUGGGUAGCGAACAGGAUUAGAUACCCUGGUAGUCCAUGCCGUAAACGGUGGGCGCUAGGUGUAGGGGUCUUCCACGACUUCUGUGCCGUAGCUAACGCAUUAAGCGCCCCGCCUGGGGAGUACGGCCGCAAGGCUAAAACUCAAAGGAAUUGACGGGG